AGUGAACGCUGGCGGUAGGCCUAACACAUGCAAGUCGAACGGCAGCACAGUAAGAGCUUGCUCUUACGGGUGGCGAGUGGAGGACGGGUGAGGAAUACAUCGGACUCUACUUUUUCGUGGGGGGUAACGUAGGGAAACUUACGCUAAUACCGCAUACGACCUACGGGUGAAAGCAGGGGAUCUUGGGCCCUUGCGCGAUUGAAUGAGCCGAUGUCGGAUUAGCUAGUUGGCGGGGUAAAGGCCAACCAAGGCGACGAUCCGUAGCUGGUCUGAGAGGAUGAUCAGCCACACUGGAACUGAGACACGGUCCAGACUCCUACGGGAGGCAGCAGUGGGGAAUAUUGGACAAUGGGCGCAAGCCUGAUCCAGCCAUACCGCGUGGGUGAAGAAGGCCUUCGGGUUGUAAAGCCCUUUUGUUGGGAAAGAAAAGCAGCAGGUUAAUACCCCGCUGUGCUGACGGUACCCAAAGAAUAAGCACCGGCUAACUUCGUG
This 492-nucleotide ribosomal RNA is filed under the name uncultured bacterium. RNAcentral describes it as "partial 16S ribosomal RNA". It matches the Rfam family "Bacterial small subunit ribosomal RNA", at positions 29 to 507 of the family's 1533-position model. The record is from RNAcentral.